AUGCCCUGUGUUGGACGGGCUGCAGCUGGAGCAGUCACUGAGCACGGAGGCCAGAAACCUGUUUUUACAAAAGCUCCCCAGGUGGUUCUGACAACCCCGCUUGGCUGUCUGUGUGCUUUGCUCCGCCAUCUAUCACUCAGUCCCAAGCCUGCCUUCAGACCUCAGUUCAGGGGUGGCUGGCAUUGACCUCAGAGCCUUUUUUGGAGCAAAUUAAUAGCCCAGAAUGUGACCGUGGACGAGGUCAUCGGUGCCUACAAGCAGGCCUGCCAGAAGCUGAACUGCAGGCAGAUCCCCAAGCUCCUCAGGCAGCUGCAGGAAUUCACAGACCUCGGGCACCGCCUCGACUGUCUGGACCUGAAAGGUGAGAAGCUUGACUACAAGACCUGCGAGGCCCUGGAAGAGGUCUUCAAGAGGCUGCAGUUCAAGGUCGUGGACCUGGAGCAGACGAACCUGGAUGAAGAUGGUGCCUCAGCCCUCUUCGACAUGAUCGAGUACUACGAGUCAGCCACCCACCUCAACAUCUCCUU
This 527-nucleotide small RNA is filed under the name Pongo abelii (Sumatran orangutan). Its description in RNAcentral is "processed transcript". The record is from RNAcentral. Lineage: Eukaryota; Metazoa; Chordata; Mammalia; Primates; Hominidae.